RNAcentral lists this long non-coding RNA (499 nucleotides) under Triticum aestivum (bread wheat). Its description in RNAcentral is "long non-coding RNA (TAES_LNC009761)". Lineage: Eukaryota; Viridiplantae; Streptophyta; Magnoliopsida; Poales; Poaceae. The record is from RNAcentral.
GGAGGGUUCAACUCUACUGCACACUGAAGCCAACACGAUCAAUUUGGGGACAGAAAAGUACAGCGACAGAAAAUUGGGAACGCACGGACAAGAUUAAACAAAGCGCACUUGUAAGAUUUAACAACAGAGCAAGAGAUUGCAGACGAAUUCAGGGAUAAAAUGCUGAGAUUUCCAUUCCAUCGAAACAACAGACAGCAGCGAGAUGCGGCCAUUCCAUUACAGCGAAGACAAUGAACACUGAACAACCGAUGGCUAGCUACGAAUCUGGCGGCGCGAGGCGGAUUCGACCGGACGGGCGCGGCCUAGCCGCCGAAGCCGUAGAGGGUGCGGCCCUGGCGCUUGAGGGCGUAGACGACGUCCAUGGCGGUGACGGUCUUGCGGCGGGCGUGCUCGGUGUAGGUGACGGCGUCGCGGAUGACGUUCUCCAGGAAGAUCUUGAGCACGCCGCGGGUCUCCUCGUAGAUGAGCCCCGAGAUGCGCUUCACGCCGCCCCUGCGAG